RNAcentral lists this ribosomal RNA (266 nucleotides) under uncultured Pseudomonas sp. RNAcentral's name for it is "partial 16S ribosomal RNA". It matches the Rfam family "Bacterial small subunit ribosomal RNA", at positions 1117 to 1382 of the family's 1533-position model. Lineage: Bacteria; Pseudomonadati; Pseudomonadota; Gammaproteobacteria; Pseudomonadales; Pseudomonadaceae. The record is from RNAcentral.
ACCAGCACGUUAUGGUGGGCACUCUAAGGAGACUGCCGGUGACAAACCGGAGGAAGGUGGGGAUGACGUCAAGUCAUCAUGGCCCUUACGGCCUGGGCUACACACGUGCUACAAUGGUCGGUACAAAGGGUUGCCAAGCCGCGAGGUGGAGCUAAUCCCAUAAAACCGAUCGUAGUCCGGAUCGCAGUCUGCAACUCGACUGCGUGAAGUCGGAAUCGCUAGUAAUCGUGAAUCGGAAUGUCACGGUGAAUACGUUCCCGGGCCUU